AGAGUUUGAUCAUGGCUCAGAUUGAACGCUGGCGGCAUGCCUUACACAUGCAAGUCGAACGGCAGCGCGGGGCAACCUGGCGGCGAGUGGCGAACGGGUGAGUAAUAUAUCGGAACGUGCCCUGGAGUGGGGGAUAACGCAGCGAAAGUUGCGCUAAUACCGCAUACGAUCUAAGGAUGAAAGCAGGGGACCGCAAGGCCUUGUGCUCCUGGAGCGGCCGAUAUCUGAUUAGCUAGUUGGUGGGGUAAAGGCCUACCAAGGCAUCGAUCAGUAGCUGGUCUGAGAGGACGACCAGCCACACUGGAACUGAGACACGGUCCAGACUCCUACGGGAGGCAGCAGUGGGGAAUUUUGGACAAUGGGCGCAAGCCUGAUCCAGCAAUGCCGCGUGAGUGAAGAAGGCCUUCGGGUUGUAAAGCUCUUUUGUCAGGGAAGAAACGGUGUGGGCUAAUAUCCCGCACUAAUGACGGUACCUGAAGAAUAAGCACCGGCUAACUACGUGCCAGCAGCCGCGGUAAUACGUAGGGUGCAAGCGUUAAUCGGAAUUACUGGGCGUAAAGCGUGCGCAGGCGGUUUUGUAAGUUUGUCGUGAAAGCCCCGGGCUCAACCUGGGAAUUGCGAUGAAGACUGCAAGGCUUGAAUCUGGCAGAGGGGGGUAGAAUUCCACGUAGCAGUGAAAUGCGUAGAGAUGUGGAGGAACACCGAUGGCGAAGGCAGUGUCCUGGCGAGUGACUGACGCUGAGGUGCGAAAGCUAGGGGAGCGAACGGGAUUAGAUACCCUAGUAGUCC
Molecule: ribosomal RNA, 789 nt
Filed under: uncultured bacterium
Lineage: Bacteria
Description: bacterial SSU rRNA
Rfam family: Bacterial small subunit ribosomal RNA
Source: RNAcentral